GGAAAAGGGAGGCAAAAGGAGAGACCCGAAGCGGCCGCCGGUCCGCGUGUCAGGUGAACUGAACUUCAGGUAUGCUUUUACUGCAUUUGCAGUGUGAUCAUUGUCACGCUGAACAAAAGAAGCGUUGCCAAUCAGAUGCUUUCAAGAAGGUUAAUUGUCAUCAUUACAGAAGGAUUCAGUGGAGCAUCUGAGAAAUUAAUGGAGUGAGCUGAGCAGACAAAAUGGACUGGAAAACUCUAAAUUUGUGGAGUCUUAAAAAAAGAAAAGAAGACAGAGCAGAAGAGCAACCAUCUCACCUCAGCAGGAUCUCUGAUUUAACUGGUCAGAGGGUCAGAGCUGUAGGAGCCAAAGGUCAGCAUACUGUGGGACUCAUACUGUGAGAGCUUCCAGGAUCAGAAUUGGGUGUUGGCGUUCUUCGCAAAUUUGAAGUUUGUCAGGAGAGGAAGGUACAAACAGCUGCUGCUGGAAGCUGUCCAGACAUCUCCAGAGAGACGACCUUCAGAGGGAG
Oreochromis aureus is the source of this 508-nucleotide long non-coding RNA. The record is from Ensembl. NCBI's taxonomy places the organism in Eukaryota, Metazoa, Chordata, Actinopteri, Cichliformes, Cichlidae.